Molecule: ribosomal RNA, 235 nt
Filed under: uncultured bacterium
Lineage: Bacteria
Description: partial 16S ribosomal RNA
Rfam family: Bacterial small subunit ribosomal RNA
Source: RNAcentral
CGGGGUAGAGUAACGCGUGAGGAACCUGCCUCAAAGAAGGGGACAACAGUUGGAAACGACUGCUAAUACCGCAUAAGCCCACGGCUCGGCAUCGAGCAGAGGGAAAAGGAGCAAUCCGCUUUGAGAUGGCCUCGCGUCCGAUUAGCUAGUUGGUGAGGUAACGGCCCACCAAGGCGACGAUCGGUAGCCGGACUGAGAGGUUGAACGGCCACAUUGGGACUGAGACACGGCCCAG